RNAcentral lists this transfer RNA (63 nucleotides) under Rattus norvegicus (Norway rat). It matches the Rfam family "tRNA". Rfam says of the family: Transfer RNA (tRNA) molecules are approximately 80 nucleotides in length. Their secondary structure includes four short double-helical elements and three loops (D, anti-codon, and T loops). The record is from Rfam by way of RNAcentral. Lineage: Eukaryota; Metazoa; Chordata; Mammalia; Rodentia; Muridae.
GGGGAUUUAGCUCAGUGGUAGAGCGCUUGCCUAGCAAGUGAAAGGCCCUGGAUUCAGUCCCCA